RNAcentral lists this ribosomal RNA (117 nucleotides) under Sinocyclocheilus rhinocerous. Lineage: Eukaryota; Metazoa; Chordata; Actinopteri; Cypriniformes; Cyprinidae. RNAcentral also lists the same sequence under 1 other name. The record is from RNAcentral.
UGCCACAGCCAUAUCACCCUGCAGCCCAAGACUGGUUGCCCACUGAAGCUAAGCAGGGUUGAGCCUGGUUAGUACCUGGAUGGGAGACCUCCUGGGAAAACUAGGUUGCUGCUGGAA